This is a non-coding RNA of Paramisgurnus dabryanus, 451 nucleotides long. NCBI's taxonomy places the organism in Eukaryota, Metazoa, Chordata, Actinopteri, Cypriniformes, Cobitidae. The record is from RefSeq and is a predicted model, not a curated record.
GCGCUUUUAUUUUGACACGCGCCCAUCCCCCCACAUCUCACGGUCGGAGUCAGUUUCACAGAGCAGCGCAGGAGGACGACAGACACAUAAAGAACAUUAACAGUUUAGGGCAAACGUUUCCCGCGCAAGUUUGAAUCUCUCUCAGUCAGUCAGGGGGAGAUUAACUGACUGACUGUCUACACGCCACCAAACAGUCAGUUAUACAGAAACCUUUUUAAGUUUAGUUUGAAUCUCUCUCAGUCAGUCAGGGGGAGAUUAACUGACAGACUGUAUAACGUUACACGCCACCAAACAGUCUUACCAAGAAACCUUUUACAGUUUAGCACAAAUGUUUCCUGUGGAAGUUAGAAUCUCUCUCAGUCAGGGGGGAGAUUGACUGACAGACGGUCUACUUGCCACCAAACAGUAAUUUACCCUGAAACCUUUUACAGUUUAGCACAAACGUUUCCCG